CUACGGGGUGCAGCAGUGGGGAAUUUUGCGCAAUGGGGGAAACCCUGACGCAGCGAUACCGCGUGAGUGAAGAAGGCCUUUGGGUCGUAAAGCUCUUUUCUAAGGGAAGAUAGUGACGGUACCUUAGGAAUAAGCGCCGGCUAACUCCGUGCCAGCAGCCGCGGUAAUACGGAGGGCGCGAGCGUUGUUCGGAUUUACUGGGCGUAAAGGGCGCGUAGGCGGCCUGACAAGUUAAGGGUGAAAUCCCGGGGCUUAACCCCGGAACUGCUCUUAAAACUGCCAAGCUAGAGAUGGUCAGAGGCGGGUGGAAUUCCAGGUGUAGAGGUGAAAUUCGUAGAUAUCUGGAGGAACACCGGUGGCGAAGGCGGCCCGCUGGGGCCAUUCUGACGCUGAGGCGCGAAAGCGUGGGGAGCGAACGGGAUUAGAUACCCGUGUAGUC
This 439-nucleotide ribosomal RNA is filed under the name uncultured bacterium. RNAcentral describes it as "partial 16S ribosomal RNA". It matches the Rfam family "Bacterial small subunit ribosomal RNA", at positions 339 to 795 of the family's 1533-position model. The record is from RNAcentral.